Zalophus californianus (California sea lion) is the source of this 317-nucleotide long non-coding RNA. RefSeq lists it as uncharacterized. The record is from RefSeq and is a predicted model, not a curated record. Lineage: Eukaryota; Metazoa; Chordata; Mammalia; Carnivora; Otariidae. The transcript is spliced from 3 exons.
GCUAAGUUCAAGUUGUCUGUGGGCAAUCCAAGGGGAGGUGUCAAGUAGGCCAUCGGAUACAUGAGUCUGGAUUUCAAGGAGAAAUCCUGGCUGGAAACAUGAACUCGGGAAAUAGGAACUCAGCUUCUAGUUGGAAGCAAGACCACCAGCAGGGUGAGGAGAAAGGAGGCGUGGUUGGACUUUGGAGGACAGAGGAGAAGAGAGAAUGAGAGAGAGCACGCGCUCAAGCAGGGGGAGCGACAGGCAGAGGGAGAAGCAGGCUCCCCACUGAGCAAGCAGCCGGAACCGAACCGCUGAGGGAGUCGAUCCCGGGACCC